GCGUCAGCAGCCGUGAUCCUUUUUCUCAUCUCUGCUUUUUCUGGACGCUCCCCAGCCACAGCUCCUCAUCGCCUCCUUUCGCUUUCCCCUUCCCCACGAAAGAAACAGAGAGGGUUUCCCUGGAAACGAUGGCGCCGCCGUGUGAAGAUCGCCGUCGCCCCGUCAACUCCAGACGCCCCGAGGAAUACCAAGGCCAUCAUGAACUUCUCCUUGCCACGCUGAACACCCUCGACCGAAGAAAUCGCUGAUUCGAGCUCGGAAUCGACGUCAACAACCUCGUCUCUUCUCCGAGUCCGGCGACGAAUUCGUUGUUCCGUCGCCGUUCGAACUCCUCCGCUUCCACCGACGUGCUCUUCGGUUUGACGGUGUCCGGCGCCGGCUCUCUCCGGUGACCUCCUGGUGGUGGCGCCGCCUCUCCUUGAAUCCCUGCAGCGAGGCGCACCUCCUGUGCCUGCUUCCCUGUCCCAGCCUGCUCCCGUCCACCGGUCCCGUGCUCGAUCGGAACCUGCUGCCACGGUGCUCCGUCGAGCUCUGCUUUCCAUCUUCAUCUUCCCUGACGGCUACCGGCGCUCACACGACAGUUCGGCCACCUUCGGCUUCUGCCUGCUUCAACGAGCACAUCAACAAGCCUGGCAUUUGCUUCUUCCCGGAUAGGAUUGCGAAGUGGUGAUGUGAGAUACGAC
This is a long non-coding RNA of Lolium rigidum, 683 nucleotides long. RefSeq lists it as uncharacterized. The transcript is spliced from 3 exons. The record is from RefSeq and is a predicted model, not a curated record. Lineage: Eukaryota; Viridiplantae; Streptophyta; Magnoliopsida; Poales; Poaceae.